GGAUCGGUAGUUCAGUUGGUUAGAAUGCCGCCCUAUCACGGCGGAGGUCGCGGGUUCGAGUCCCGUCCGGUCCGCAA
Molecule: transfer RNA, 77 nt
Filed under: Chitinophaga skermanii
Lineage: Bacteria; Pseudomonadati; Bacteroidota; Chitinophagia; Chitinophagales; Chitinophagaceae
Description: tRNA-Asp
Rfam family: tRNA
About the family: Transfer RNA (tRNA) molecules are approximately 80 nucleotides in length.
Source: RNAcentral